ACCAGACUCCUACGGGAGGCAGCGGUGGGGAAUAUUGCACAAUGGGGGAAACCCUGAUGCAGCGACGCCGCGUGAGCGAUGAAGUAUUUCGGUAUGUAAAGCUCUCUCAGCAGGGAAGAAAAUGGCGGUACCUGACUAAGAAGCCCCGGCUAACUACGUGCCAGCAGCCGCGGUAAUACGUAGGUGGCAAGCGUUGUCCGGAUUUACUGGGUGUAAAGGGCGUGUAGCCGGGCUUACAAGUCAGAUGUGAAAUCCGGGGGCUCAACCCCCGAACUGCAUUUGAAACUGUAGGUCUUGAGUAUCGGAGAGGCAGGCGGAAUUCCUAGUGUAGCGGUGAAAUGCGUAGAUAUAAGGAAGAACACCAGUGGCGAAGGCGGAUUACUGGACGAUAACUGACGGUGAGGCGCGAAAGCGUGGGGAGCAAACAGGAUUAGAUACCCCGGUAC
RNAcentral lists this ribosomal RNA (446 nucleotides) under uncultured bacterium. RNAcentral describes it as "bacterial SSU rRNA". It matches the Rfam family "Bacterial small subunit ribosomal RNA", at positions 330 to 793 of the family's 1533-position model. The record is from RNAcentral.